GUGAACACAAAAAAAGUUUAGGAAGAUGUGCCCUCAGCCUCAAUUCCCAAUUCUUUUUCACUUUCAUCGCAGGGAGAAAUCGCAGCCAAUUCCGUCAAUUCCCAAUUCCUUUUCACUUUGGAGAAAUCGCAGCCAAUUCCGUGAAACUGCAGCGAUAGAAAUCGGUAGAAAUUGCAGCCAGCCCUCAGUUAGUAAUUCUCAUGGAAUCGAUGGCUUUUUUACUGAUGUUUGGCCUGAUGGGGGCAUAGUCAGUCGAACCCAAUUUUAAUCCUAUC
Molecule: long non-coding RNA, 275 nt
Filed under: Panax ginseng (ginseng)
Lineage: Eukaryota; Viridiplantae; Streptophyta; Magnoliopsida; Apiales; Araliaceae
Description: long non-coding RNA (PGIN_LNC003632)
Source: RNAcentral